CCUACGGGGGGCAGCAGUGGGGAAUAUUGGGCAAUGGGCGCAAGCCUGACCCAGCAAUGCCGCGUGAAGGAAGCAGGCUUUCGGGUUGUAAACUUCUUUGACAGGGGAAGAGCAGAAGACGGUACCCUGAAAACAAGCCACGGCUAACUACGUGCCAGCAGCCGCGGUAAUACGUAGGUGGCAAGCGUUGUCCGGAUUUACUGGGGGUAAAGGGCGUGUAGCCGGGAAGGCAAGUCAGAUGUGAAAUCCGGGGGCUCAACCUCCGAAUUGCAUUUGAAACUGUUUUUCUUGAGUACUGGAGAGGCAGACGGAAUUCCUUGUGUAGCGGUGAAAUGCGUAGAUAUAAGGAGGAACACCAGUGGCGAAGGCGGUCUGCUGGACAUUAACUGACGCUGAGGCACGAAGGCCAGGGGAGCGAAAGGGAUUAGAUACCCCUGUGUC
RNAcentral lists this ribosomal RNA (441 nucleotides) under uncultured bacterium. RNAcentral's name for it is "partial 16S ribosomal RNA". It matches the Rfam family "Bacterial small subunit ribosomal RNA", at positions 338 to 795 of the family's 1533-position model. The record is from RNAcentral.